CUUUGUCACUGCUCCAUGCUCUGUGAUGCAGGCCUGGAACAUUCUAGAAUACAGCACACAUCUCAGUGCCCUGUUGUCUGAGGCAGUAGUGAGCUUCAGGCCUCAGAUGAUGGACACCUAUCUCCUUUCUGAGGAGAGUGAGUGAGCCACGGGUCAUCAAUUCCAUCAUUUACUUCCUGUGUGUGGCUAGGCUCCUCCUUCUGUCAUCCUUCUUCCAAAACGGAGCCAUUUGCUACCAGUCUUCAGAAUAAAGGAGACAUCAACCAGAGCUUGGAGUUCUCCGUGGACACUGAGCCCAUGUAGUAAAGGUAGGAGGGCUCCCGGCGUGGUGUAUAACUCUGCCAUGGUAUAAAGCACUUUCCUUGUUCACUUCAGUCUUCAGAAGCGAAGAUUCUAUUAGGGAAUCUAAAAACUUAUAUCCCAUGCCUUUUCUGGGAAAGUUACUACAGAUGUGCUUCAGAAAAAUGAUGAAGAAAAUGAAGAGAAGAGCCUCGAGGACUGUGAGGAAACAAAUUUCUGGUGUUUAAGCGGCCCAGUCUGUGACACUUUGUUAUGGCGGCCCGAGCAGACUAAUACAACUGGGAAAGAGGUCACAGGUACAAGGGUAGAGGAGAUUAGAGGAGUGAGAACACAGCAGGGGACAAGACCAGAGUAAGAGACUGAUGAUGGGGCUAAUACAAAAUGAAGUGACCAGGUUUAAGGACCUGAAGGAAAGCAGCAACGAUGGUGACGGAGAGAAAGAGACGGAUGUGAGAGACACUGUCAACAAAUCAAAUGGGAUGUGUAAGAGGGUGGAUGUAUUGAAUGAGCAUGAUGGUUGGGACACAGAGGAGUCCCGUUACAUCAAGAGAUGGAUAACAGUCAGUGCACAAGUAGUGCUUGGACUUCCCCAAGAGGCUGGAGAGCAGAGCAGUCCCAGAAAUAACUUGGUACCCUGCUCGGCACCACCAGAGGUAUUCACCUGCAUUCCUGAUUCAGCUCACUACCCAAAGAUCAUCCAGGGGUUGGUGGGGCAGGCAGAAGGCUCACCUUCCAAACUGCCGCAGUACCCACCCCUGUGAUGGGGAACAUUCCACCACCUAAGGAAGAACCAAGGGGUCAAAAUUAGUGGUCAUCCUCACAGAAGUGAAAUUCUGCAUUUCACUUUCAUGUUUCAUUGUGUUUUAUUUUUUAAUGAAUCAAAAGCUAUCUGUAUAUCUAUAACAAUUAUCAUUUUGUCCAGCAAUCCCAUUUCUAGGAAUCUAUCCCAAAGAUACAUUGGCAAAAAUAAGAAAAGAUAUGUGCAUAUAACUAUUUGCUGCAGUGUUGUAAUUAUAAUAGCAGAAAACCUGAAAAAUGUAAAUGCCCCAUCAAUAGAAAAGUGAGGGAAUAACAAAUGGUAUAUCCACACAGUGGAGUGUUAUACACCUGUCAAAAACAUAUGGUAUAAGUAAGUAGUUACCACAAUAAAUAAGUAAAAAUUUCAAUGUGGUUAAGUUUGUAUAGAUUCUAAAAAGUGGUGGAUAUAAAGAUAUGCAUAUAUAUGCAAAUGCAUAUUUUAAAAUGGAAGGAUGAACCAUAAAACUUUUUAAAUGGUUACCUAUAGACAGAAGGGAACAGAAGGUAUAAAAAUCUAGGCUUCUAGGGGCCAGUCAGGGGUAGUGGUUAAGUUCACGUGCUCCACUUCAGUGGCCUGGGGUUUGCUGGUUCAGAUCCCGGGUGCGGACCAACACUCCGCUUAUCAAGCCGUGCUGUGGUAGGCAUCUCACAUAUAAAGUAGAGGAAAAUGGGCACAGUCUUUCUCAGCAAAAAGAGAAGGAUUGGUGGUAGAUAUUAGCUCGGGGCUAAUCUUCCCCCCAAAAAAUCUAGGCUUCUACCUAGUUUUGAGGAUUUGACUUGAAACAUAAUCUACGUACAGAAUUUACAUAAUUACAAAAUGAAGUUAAAUUUUAAAAAUUCAAUCCCUAAAAUCAAAAGCAAAAUUAAACAAAUGAACGUAUAUGUAUAUCUUUUGGUAGCUUGAUCUUGAGAGAAGAUAUUCUAAGUGAUCUAAACUAAUUACCGGUACGUCCCUAGUAAGAUAUACCUUAAAGACAGAAAGACUUGCAAAAUUCUUAAAUUGCUUUCAGUAGUCACAUUGUUGAUGGGAGUAUUGGUAUUAUUACCCAACAGACUCUGAGUCUGUGUAUUGUAAAAAAAAGUGGAGGGAAGGGGUACUCAUGAUGGUGUCAUUGAGAAUCAGAUUGUUUGGUAUGGAGAAAAGGAGACACAGAUGUUAGAUCAGUGAGGUUUACUCUGUAAUCCUAAAUCUGAAAUGAUGGUAACAGCGUGAACUUAUAAGAUAUUUUACUUUUGGGUUUUUUAAUUCUUUCACUUUUUAUUUUGAAAUAAUUAUAGAUUCACAGGAAGUUGCAAAAAUAGAAAGGUCUUAUGAACCUUCACCCAGUUUCCCCUAAUGGUUACUUGCUAAAUAACUAUAGUACAAUGUCAAAACCAGGAAACUGACAUUGGCACAGUAUGUGUAUAGUUCUAUGUCAUUUUAUCAUGUGCAUGAAUUUUUGUAGCCACCACUACAAGAAAGGUACAGAAUUAUUCUAUCACCACAAAGAUCUCCCUCAUGCUAACCCUUCAUAAUCAUACCCACCUCCUGCCACUCAUCAUUCCUAACCUCUAGCAACCACUAAUCUGUUUUCCAUGUCUAUAAUUUUGUCAUUUCAAGAAUGUUAUAUACAUGGAAUCAUACAGUAUGUGACCCUUUGAGAUUGUUUUUGUUCAUUCAGCAUAAUGCCCUUGAGAUCCAUCAAAAUUGUAUCAAUAGUUUGCUCUAUUCCAUGGCCUGGAUGUACCCCAAUUUGUUUAUCCAUUCACUCACUGAAAGAUAUUUUGGUUGUUUCCUGUUUUGGGCUAUGACAAAUAAAGCUGCUGUGAACAUUCA
Molecule: long non-coding RNA, 2914 nt
Filed under: Equus asinus (donkey)
Lineage: Eukaryota; Metazoa; Chordata; Mammalia; Perissodactyla; Equidae
Description: lncRNA (ENSEASG00005037862.1)
Source: RNAcentral